RNAcentral lists this ribosomal RNA (256 nucleotides) under uncultured bacterium. RNAcentral's name for it is "partial 16S ribosomal RNA". It matches the Rfam family "Bacterial small subunit ribosomal RNA", at positions 32 to 260 of the family's 1533-position model. The record is from RNAcentral.
AAUCAACGCUGGCGGCGUGCCUCAGACAUGCAAGUCGAACGCGAAAGUUUCCUUCGGGAGAUGAGUAGAGUGGCGCACGGGUGAGUAACACGUGAGUAAUUUACCUUCGGGUGGGGAAGUACUAACCGGAAACGGUUGUUAAUACCGCAUAAUGCAGCGGCAUCAAUGAUGACAGUUGUUAAAGCGGGGGAGUUGGAGCAAUCCGACCUCGCGCCUGAAGAGAAGCUCGCGGCAGAUUAGCUAGUUGGUAAGGUAA